Molecule: long non-coding RNA, 8240 nt
Organism: Pseudopipra pipra
Lineage: Eukaryota; Metazoa; Chordata; Aves; Passeriformes; Pipridae
Exons: 2
Source: RefSeq, a predicted model, not a curated record
CCAGAAUUUGGGGAAGUUCCUUAUUUCAUGGGGGGUCCUCAGUUUAGGGGGUGGUUCUCUAUUUAGGGGGGUCCCUCAAUUUAGGGGGAUCCUCAAUUUGCGAGGUUCCUCAAUUUGGGGGAUCCCUCAAUUUGGGGGGAUCCUCAGUUUAGGGAGUUCCUCAAUUUGGGGGGUCCCUCAAUUUAGGGGGAUCCUCAGUUUAGGGAGUUCCUCAAUUUGGGGGGAUCCCUCAAUUUGGGGUGUUCCUCAAUUUAGGCAGAUCCCCCAAUUUGGGGGAGAUCUCUCAAUUUGGGGGGUUCCUCAGUUUAGGGGGAUCCCUCAGUUUAGAGGAGUUCCUCAAUUUGGGGGGUCCCUCAAUUUGGGGGAUUCUUCAAUUUGGGAGGUCCUUCAAUUUAGGGGGAUCCUCAAUUUAGAGGGAUCUUCAAUUUGGGGGGUUCCUCAAUUUGGGAGGAUCCCUCAAUUUGGGGGGGUUCCUCAGUUUAGGGGGAUCUUCAAUUUGGGGGGAUUCCUCAAUUUAGGGGGAUCUUCAAUUUGGGGGGAUUCCUCAAUUUAGGGGGAUCUUCAAUUUGGGGGGAUUCCUCAAUUUAGGGGGAUCCCUCAAUUCAGAGGAGUUCCUCAAUUUGGGAGGAUCCCUCAGUUUAGGGGGUUCCUCAAUCUGAGGGGAUCCCUCAAUUUGGGGGGUCCCUCAAUUUGGGGGGGUUCCUCAAUUUAGGGAGAUCCCUCAAUUUAGGGGGAUCUCUCAGUUUAGGGAGUUCCUCAGUUUGGGGGGUUCCUCAAUUUGGGGGGUCCCUCAGUUUAGGAGGGGCCCUCACUUUAAUGACAAUCAGUGAUAAUUCCAGCGUGUUUCUACUUCCCAAAUGGAGAUUUAGGGAUUUUCCCCCUUUUCCCCCCCAAAACCCACUUUUCCUCUCACCCAGGACCACGCCCGGUGUGGAAAAUCCCACCCGGAUCCCGCCCACCCACAUCCAAACCCCUCAGUUUUCCAGAAGAUUGGAGCUUUUCCCUGCAUUUCAGAGGAGUUUUUUUAAAUCCUCCACCGCCCCCUUCCCCGCAGGAGCCAGGAAUUCCCCCAGGCUGGGGCUGGAACACCCCCUGGAUCAGCACCCCGGGGAGGGAGCACGUCCGCAGCGGGCACGGAAAAGGCGGAAAAGCUGCUUAUGGCUCUCGGGGACGUGGAUUAGGAACCUUAAGACCUCUUAAUUUGAUCCUAGGGCUGCAUUCCCUGCCUCUGCCAGGACUCUGGGAAUGGUGGAGAGCCGGGUGACGCUCCCAAAUCCCUCCUUGGAAAUGAGCUGGACACUGGGAAGAGACGGAUGAGGAGAUGGAUCCGUUGGAGACGCCUCGUUUCCGGUGGCCAAGCAGCAGGGAAAGGCUUCCUACCUCUUCCAAUAUCCAUGGGGAAGAUCCAUGGAUGAAGGAACAGCCAUUGCUCUGUGCCAGCCACCUCCAGGAAUUCUCGUUGGAAAAGUCAGCUCGGGAUGGGAGUGGAGGACUCAAGGGAUGUCUGUGUGCAGCUGGAAUGUUGGUGAGGAUGAGCAGGAAGGUCUGGAUGAGGAAGGAGAAGACGUGGUGGUGUCCUCGAGCUCUUGGAUCAUGUCCACCAGGGACAUCAGGACUGGGAGACAACCAGAGGGUGAAUCCUUGGAACUCACAGGGGAGGGGAACAGGAUGGGUAAGGAAAUCACCACCAGCUCCCAAGAGGUAGGAAAAGGCACAUCCCAAGGGGAUACGUGGCCACCAACCUGAGGAAAGCCUGGGAGAAGUGGUGGAGUCCCCAUCCCUGGAGGGAUUUAAGGAGAAUGUUGGGAGUCCCCAUCCCUGGAGGGAUUUGAGGAGAAUGUUGGAGUCCCCAUCCCUGGAGGGAUUUGAGGAGAAUGUUGGAGUCUCCAUCCCUGGAGGGAUUUAAGGGAGAAGGCUGGAGUCCCAUCCCUGGAGGGAUUUAAGGGAGAAGGCUGGAGUCCCAUCCCUGGAGGGAUUUAAGGAGAAGUGGUGGAGUCUCCAACCCUAGAGGGAUUUAAGGGAGAAUGUUGGAGUCCCCAUUUUUGGGGGGAUUUAAGGGAGAAGGUUGGAGUUCCCAUUUUUGGGGGGAUUUAAGGGAGAAGGUUGGAGUUCCCAUCCCUGGAGGGAUUUAAGGAGAAUGUUGGGAGUCCCCAUCCCUGGAGGGAUUUAAAGGAAAAGUGGUGGAGUCCCAUCCCUGAAGGGAUUUAAGGAGAAGGUUGGAGUCCCCAUUUUUGGGGGGAUUUAAGGGAGAAUGUUGGAGUCUCCAUCCCUGGAGGGAUUUAAGGGAGAAGUGGUGGAGUCUCAUCCCUGGAGGGAUUUAAGGAGAAUGUUGGAGUCUCCAUCCCUGGAGGGAUUUAAGGGAGAUUGUUGGAGUCCCCAUUUUUGGGGGGAUUUAAGGGAGAAGUGGUGGAAUUCCCAUCCCUGGAGGGAUUUAAGGAGAAUGUUGGGAGUUUCCAUUUUUGGGGGGAUUUAAGGGAGAAUGUUGGAGUCCCCAUCCCUGGAGGGAUUUAAGGAGAAUGUUGGGAGUCUCCAUCCCUGGAGGGAUUUAAGGAGAAGUGUUGGGAUCCCCAUCCCUGGAGGGAUUUAAGGGAGAAGUGGUGGAAUUCCCAUCCCUGGAGGGAUUUAAAGGACACCUGGAUGUGGCACUUGGGGACAUGGGUCAGUGGGACUUGGUUGUCCUGGCCCAGGUGUUCCCAGAGAAGCUGUGGCUGCCCCUGGAUCCCUGGAAGUGUCCAAGGCCAGGUUGGAGCAUCCUGGGAUUCUGGAAGGUUGUCCCUGCCCAUGGAACUGGAUGAUCCUUAAGGUCCUUUCCCACCCAAACCACAGAUUUGGGAAUGGGAUUUGCACACACUGCGUGGAAGCCAGGACCAGAUUUAUGGACUGAUUUGGGAUUUUUAUAGGGAUAAAAGCACUCCCUUGCUGCUGAUCCAGCUCCCACCACCCACCAGCACCUUCAGCAAUAAUUCCUUUUUCCUCCUGGGUGAGGAUUUUUCCUCCUUCUCCACAGAUGGAGAAACGAGACCACUCAACUCACUCCCUGCCUGAUUUUCCACCUCUCCUACCCCAAAAAAGCAGAAUCCCUUUGGUUUUCCCUCCUGGCAUUAGGCACAAACAAGGGCAGUCUGUGUUCCUAUGGAAUUUGCAAUUCCAGCUCCUUUUUUUUUUUUUCACCCCGAUCCAAAGACCCUCAAUGUCAUUGCAAGGCUGAGGUCCCACUAUGGAUUCCAGCAAGAUUUGGGAUCAGCUUUGGGAUCCCAAAAGGUUGAUGCAGCUUGAAGAUUCCCUGUCCUUGUCCAAAGAGAUGGCAGUUAGAGGAAUUUAGUGGAGAGCAGGUCCAUGAAGGGCCGUAAAACCCAACGUUCCGGGUGGAUCUUCUCCUUCGGGAUGUCCACGGUGUGGGAAUGUCCCAGCAGGAGCCAGGCAGGUCCCACGAGGUGGCAUCUUCCUUGGAUAUUUCCCUGCAGGGAGCUGCAGCCUCAGCUGUUUGGAUGCUCCGGGAGCUGCACCAGGAGGAAGUUCAGCCCUGGAAUUUGGGAGGGAAGGAAGAAAGAGCCGUAAAUUCCCAACGACGGGUCAGGAGCGGGACACGAUCAUGGAAUGGUUUGGGGUGGGAGGGACCUCAAAGCUCAUCUCAAUUCCAACCCCUGCCAUGGGUAGGGACACUUCCCACUAUCCCAGGUCGCUCCAACCUGGCCUGGGAGACACUUCCAAGGAUCCAGGGGCAGCCACAACUUCCCUGGAAAACCUGUGCCGGGGCCUCCCCGCCCUCCUGGGGAAAAGCCCAGACCCAUCACACCCGUGAUCUUUUGGAGACAAUCCCAUUUAAUAUUACAUUUAUUACAUUCCCAAGUGCCAAGCUUGGCUCCUCCCCUCAAUUUUGGGUGAAAAUCCCACCACUUUAAACCGAUGUUUCCCUAAAUCCGAACGCUGUUCCGCGACCACCGACGUACCGCGCCGGCCGAAAAUCCACCGGGCUCCUCCCGUUCCUCGUGCCUCACGUGGUGACCUGGGAUUCCUGGAACACCUGGAUGACCUCCGGCUUCCUGGCGAGCUGCUGGGCCAGCGUUCCCGAGCCAUCCGGAGUGUCCCGGAGCCCGGCACGGAGCAGGAUCCGCGUGGCCUCCGCCUGCUGCCCGGCCACGGCCGCGUGCAGGGCUGGGAAUGUGGGAUGGGGUCAUGGAAUCAGGGAAUGGCUCGGCCCGGAAGGGACCUCAAGGAUCAUCCAGUUCCAAUCCCCACACCCUCCGCUAUCCCAGGUUGAUCCCAAGGCCCGUCCAACCUGCCCUGGGAUGUUCGCAGGGAUGGGAAUCCCAGUGUUUCACCACCUUCCUUGGAAAAACUGUCUUCCUUUGACCUAAUGUGCAUCCUGAUCCCCAUGGAUAAUCCAUGCAAUGCCAAAUCGGGAUGAGGAGCUUCCCAAGGACACAGAGACACUGACACAGCCACAGAAAACAUCCCAGAGCUGGAUGAGCUCAGCAGAGCCGGGAUUUACUCCCUGCACCUGCCCUUAGACGUUCCCAGGGAUGGGAAUCCCUGUGUUUUACCACCCUCAUUGGAAAAGGUGUCUUCCUUUAAUCUAAUGUGCAUCCUGAUCCCCAUGGAUAAUCCAUGCAAUGCCAAAUCGGGAUGAGGAGCUUCCCGAGGACACAGGGACACUGACACAGCAAAGGUGCCAGGGAAUGGGACACCCAACAGGCACAAGGAGCCAUGGAAAACAUCCCAGGGCUGGAUGAGCUCAGCAGAGCCGGGAUUUACUCCCUGAACAUGCCCUUGGAUAUUCCCAGGGUUUCCUUGGAUAUUCCUCUCUGGGAAACUUGUGUUUCACCCCCCUCAUUGCAAACAAUUUCUUCCUUCUAUCUGAUCUAAUGUGCAUCCUGAUCCCCAUGGAUAAUCCAUGCAGUGCCAACCAGGAUGAGGAGCUUCCCAAGGACACAGGGACACAGACAGAGCCAUGGAAAACAUCCCAGGGCUGGAUGAGCUCAGCAGAGCCGGGAUUUACUCCCUGAACCUGCCCUUGGAUGUUCUCAGGGAUGGGAAUCCAUCUAAUCCAUCAGGAUGAGGAGCUUCCCAAGGACACAGAGACACUGACACAGCCACAGAAAACAUCCCAGGGCUGGAUGAGCUCAGCAGAGCCGGGAUUUACUCCCUGAACAUGCCCUUGGAUAUUCCUAGGGAUUCCCUGGAUAUUCCUCUCCAGGAAACUUGUGUCUCACCUCCCUCAUUGCAAAUGAUUUCUUCCUUCUAUCUGAUCUAAUGUGCAUCCUGAUCCCCAUGGAUAAUCCAGGCAGUGCCAAUCAGGAUGAGGAGCUUCCCAAGGACACAGGGACACAAACCCAGCAACUGGAGCCAUGGAAAAACUUCCAGGGCUGGAUGAGCUCAGCAGAGCUGGGAUUUACUCCCUGCACCUGCCCUUGGACGUUCCCAGGGAUGGGAAUCCCUGUGUUUCACCACCCUCAUUGGAAAAACUCUCUUCCUUUAAUGUGCAUCCUGAUCCCCAUGGAUAAUCCAGGCAGGUGCCAAAUCGGGAUGAGGAGCUUCCCAAGGACACAGGGACACAAACCCAGCAACUGGAGCCAUGGAAAACCUUCCAGGGCUGGAUGAGCUCAACAGAGCCAGGAUUUACUCCUUGAACUUGCCCUUGGACGUUCCAAGGGAUGGGAAUCCCUGUGUUUCACCACCUUCCCUGGAAAAACUGUCUUCCUUUAACCUAAUGUGCAUCCUGAUCCCCAUGGAUAAUCAUUGCAAUGCCAAAUUGGGAUGAGGAGCUUCCCAAGGACACAGGGACACAAACCCAGCACCUGGAGCCAUGGAAAACCUUCCAGGGCUGGAUGAGCUCAGCAGAGCCAGGAUUUACUCCCUGCACCUGCCCUUGGAUGUUCCCAGGGAUGGGAAUCCCUGUGUUUCACCACUCUCAUUGGAAAAGCUGUCUUCCUUUAAUGUGCAUCCUGAUCCCCAUGGAUAAUCCAGGCAGGUGCCAAAUCAGGAUGAGGAGCUUCCCAAGGACACAGGGACACAAACUUAGCACCUGGAGCCAUGGAAAACCUUCCAGGGCUGGAUGAGCUCAGCAGAGCCAGGAUUUACUCCCUGAACUUGCCCUUGGAUGUUCUCAGGGAUGGGAAUCCAUCUAAUCCAUCAGGAUGAGGAGCUUCCCAAGGACACAGAGACACUGACACAGCCACAGAAAACAUCCCAGAGCUGGAUGAGCUCAGCAGAGCCGGGAUUUACUCCCUGCACCUGCCCUUAGACGUUCCCAGGGAUGGGAAUCCCUGUGUUUUACCACCCUCAUUGGAAAAACUGUCUUCCUUUAAUCUACUGUGCAUCCUGAUCCCCAUGGAUAAUCCAUGCAAUGCCAAAUCGGGAUGAGGAGCUUCCCGAGGACACAGGGACACUGACACAGCCACAGAAAACAUCCCAGAGCUGGAUGAGCUCAGCAGAGCCGGGAUUUACUCCUUGAACUUGCCCUUCACGUUCCCAGGGAUGGGAAUCCCUGUGUUUCACCACCUUCCUUGGAAAAGCUGUCUUCCUUUGACCUAAUGUGCAUCCUGAUCCCCAUGGAUAAUCCAUGCAGGUGCCAAAUCGGGAUGAGGAGCUUCCCAAGGACACAGGGACACUGACACAGCAUCCAACAGGCAGGAGGAGCCAUGGAAAACCUCCCUGGGCUGGAUGAGCUCCGCAGAGCCGGGAUUCCCUCCCGGAGGGGACGGAUGGAGAGAUGUCCCCAGGUGUUUUUAACCAAACCUGAGGACUGGUUAAAAGCUGCCAAUUUUGGCUGGAACCCUUUCUGUGGGUUUUGUUCCCGAGACAGAGAUGCUGCUGCAGGAGCUGCCGGAGCCUCUCCCGCCGGGAAUGCCGACUCCGGCAUCGCUAUGGCAACUCUAUUUACGUCCCAGCCCUGUGUUAUUAUUUGCUCAUGAGCCCAUUUCUGGGCUGUUUGCUGGGAAAUCGAGGCUGGGGAGCUCGUGGAAGUCCCUGGAUUCACCCACCCAACCCGCUGCAGGAGGGCUCGUUCCAGCCAAAUUCCGGCGAGGCGGAGAAUCGAAGCUCCGGAAAAGUCUCGUGGAAAAAAUUAAGGAGGUGGAUAAAGAGAAAGCCCUGGUUUGCAUCUCUGUUCUUCCCCCAGGGAACAUCUCUGCUCUUCCCCAAGGGAAAAGCCCUCGAGCCAGAAGCACCAGAAAUUCCAGCAAGGAGAAAAUUAGUGAAUGAAAACCGGGGAAAAAACAAACCAAAACCCCUGUUUUCACGUCACGCUGCUCCCAGAGCCUUUGGUAUCCAUGGAUUUGGGAUCUCCCUGCGUGCUCCAGGGUGACCUGGAGGUUGGGAUGCACUUAUGGAAGCUCUGGGGGUCAGGCAGAGGGGGAAGGAGCAGCUCCUUCCUUACCGGAACGGCUCUUCCCGUCCUGAGCCUGGAGAUCGGCGCCGAGGGACAGCAGCGUCAGGAUGGUGUGUCCGUGUCCUUCCUGCAGGGAAACAGGGAAUUCGGGAUCAGCUCUGAUGAUCCCUGACCUGGGAGGGCACGGAUCUGCCCCGUCAUGGUCAAAUCUGAGGAUACCAGCAGCUGCUCCAAGAUCCUCUGGAGCUUGGAGCGGACGGAAAGUCGGGGUUAGGUGCCUGUGGAAGUGCAGGUUGGAUCCACGAUGCAGGAAUUCCCCUGGCACAGCAGGAACACUGCUGUUAUCCCACGGGAACGGGCCAGAGAGGUGCCACCAGGCACCUUCAUGGAAUGCCAGGAUGGUUUGGGUGGGAAGGGACCUCAAAUCCCACCCAGUUCCAACCCCAGGGACACCUUCCACUAUCCCAGGUUGCUCCAACCUGGCCUUGGACACUUCCAGGGAUCCAGGGGCAGCCACAGUUUCGCUGGGAAAUCCAUUCCAGCCCCUCCCCUUCCUUCCCCAUAUCCCAUCUCUCCCUGCCCUCUGGCACUGGGAAGCCAUUCCCUGUGUCCUGUCCCUCCACGCCUUGUCCAAAGUCCCUUUCCAGCUUUCAAUCCCAUAUCCCUGUAACUCCCAGUUGCUCUUCCCGGGGUUAUUUCAGCUCCAAGAGCUGUUGCUCACGCGGGCUGUGGAUUUCCCAAAGGAUUGCUCCAGGAUUUGGGAUGCCCUGUGAGAUGACACAGCCAGCCACGACCCCCGGUGUCCUCCCUCCUUCCUCUGCCCGGAAUUCCAGACUCCACAGGGGAAAACACAGCACAGCCCCCACCCCUCUCCUCUCUCCAUGAAUAAAUCCUGUCUCCCUUAAUAACA